Molecule: ribosomal RNA, 459 nt
Filed under: uncultured bacterium
Lineage: Bacteria
Description: partial 16S ribosomal RNA
Rfam family: Bacterial small subunit ribosomal RNA
Source: RNAcentral
CCUACGGGUGGCAGCAGUGAGGAAUAUUGGUCAAUGGGCGCGAGCCUGAACCAGCCAAGUCGCGUGAGGGAAGACGGUCCUAUGGAUUGUAAACCUCUUUUGUCGGGGAGCAAAAGCCGCCACGCGUGGCGUUCCGAGAGUACCCGAAGAAAAAGCAUCGGCUAAGUCCGUGCCAGCAGCCGCGGUAAUAAGGAGGAUGCGAGCGUUAUCCGGAUUUAUUGGGUUUAAAGGGUGCGCAGGCGGAAGAUCAAGUCAGCGGUAAAAUUGGGAGGCUCAACCUCUUCGAGCCGUUGAAACUGGUGUUCUUGAGUGAGCGAGAAGUAUGCGGAAUGCGUGGUGUAGCGGUGAAAUGCAUAGAUAUCACGCAGAACUCCGAUUGCGAAGGCAGCAUACCGGCGCUCAACUGACGCUCAUGCACGAAAGUGUGGGUAUCGAACAGGAUUAGAUACCCGGGUAGUC